GACGAAGGGGGCUAGCGUUGUUCGGAAUUACUGGGCGUAAAGCGCACGUAGGCGGGGAUUCAAGUCGGAGGUGAAAGCCCAGAGCUCAACUCUGGAAUUGCCUUCGAUACUGUUUCUCUAGAGUGCAGGAGAGGUGAGUGGAAUUCCCAGUGUAGAGGUGAAAUUCGUAGAUAUUGGGAAGAACACCAGUGGCGAAGGCGGCUCACUGGCCUGUAACUGACGCUGAGGUGCGAAAGCGUGGGGAGCAAACAGG
RNAcentral lists this ribosomal RNA (253 nucleotides) under uncultured bacterium. RNAcentral's name for it is "partial 16S ribosomal RNA". It matches the Rfam family "Bacterial small subunit ribosomal RNA", at positions 524 to 776 of the family's 1533-position model. The record is from RNAcentral.